GACGAACGCUGGCGGCGUGCUUAACACAUGCAAGUCGAACGGAGUGGCGAACGGGUGAGUAACACGUGGGUGAUCUGCCUUGGACUUCGGGAUAAGCCUGGGAAACUGGGGCUAAUACCGGUUAGUGUAAGAUGAGCUCGCGGCCAAUCAGCUUGUUGGUGGGGUAAUGGCCUACCAAGGCGACGACGGGUAGCCGGCCUGAGAGGGUGGACGGCGACAUUGGGACUGAGAUACGGACCAGAGUCGUACGGGGGGCAGUAGUGGGGAAUAUUGCACAAUGGGCGGAAGCCUGAUGCAGCGACGCCGCGUGGGGGAUGAAGGCCUUGGGGUUGUAAAGUCCUUUAGACAGGGACGCGGUACCUGUAUAAGAAGCACCGGCUAACUACGUGCCAGCAGCCGCGGUAAUUC
This 408-nucleotide ribosomal RNA is filed under the name uncultured bacterium. RNAcentral describes it as "partial 16S ribosomal RNA". It matches the Rfam family "Bacterial small subunit ribosomal RNA", at positions 28 to 526 of the family's 1533-position model. The record is from RNAcentral.